RNAcentral lists this ribosomal RNA (1343 nucleotides) under uncultured bacterium. RNAcentral describes it as "16S ribosomal RNA". It matches the Rfam family "Bacterial small subunit ribosomal RNA", at positions 28 to 1378 of the family's 1533-position model. The record is from RNAcentral.
GACGAACGCUGGCGGCGUGCUUAACACAUGCAAGUCGAACGGAAAGGCCCUGCUUUUGUGGGGUGCUCGAGUGGCGAACGGGUGAGUAACACGUGAGUAACCUGCCCUUGACUUUGGGAUAACUUCAGGAAACUGGGGCUAAUACCGGAUAGGAGCUCCUGCUGCAUGGUGGGGGUUGGAAAGUUUCGGCGGUUGGGGAUGGACUCGCGGCUUAUCAGCUUGUUGGUGGGGUAGUGGCUUACCAAGGCUUUGACGGGUAGCCGGCCUGAGAGGGUGACCGGCCACAUUGGGACUGAGAUACGGCCCAGACUCCUACGGGAGGCAGCAGUGGGGAAUAUUGCACAAUGGGCGGAAGCCUGAUGCAGCAACGCCGCGUGCGGGAUGACGGCCUUCGGGUUGUAAACCGCUUUCGCUUGUGACGAAGCGUGAGUGACGGUAAUGGGUAAAGAAGCACCGGCUAACUACGUGCCAGCAGCCGCGGUGAUACGUAGGGUGCGAGCGUUGUCCGGAUUUAUUGGGCGUAAAGGGCUCGUAGGUGGUUGAUCGCGUCGGAAGUGUAAUCUUGGGGCUUAACCCUGAGCGUGCUUUCGAUACGGGUUGACUUGAGGAAGGUAGGGGAGAAUGGAAUUCCUGGUGGAGCGGUGGAAUGCGCAGAUAUCAGGAGGAACACCAGUGGCGAAGGCGGUUCUCUGGGCCUUUCCUGACGCUGAGGAGCGAAUGCGUGGGGAGCGAACAGGCUUAGAUACCCUGGUAGUCCACGCUGUAAACGGUGGGUACUAGGUGUGGGGUCCAUUCCACGGGUUCCGUGCCGUAGCUAACGCUUUAAGUACCCCGCCUGGGGAGUACGGCCGCAAGGCUAAAACUCAAAGGAAUUGACGGGGCCCCGCACAAGCGGCGGAGCAUGCGGAUUAAUUCGAUGCAACGCGUAGAACCUUACCUGGGUUUGACAUGGAUCGGGAGCGCUCAGAGAUGGGUGUGCCUCUUUUGGGGUCGGUUCACAGGUGGUGCAUGGCUGUCGUCAGCUCGUGUCGUGAGAUGUUGGGUUAAGUCCCGCAACGAGCGCAACCCUUGUUCACUGUUGCCAGCACGUUAUGGUGGGGACUCAGUGGAGACCGCCGGGGUCAACUCGGAGGAAGGUGGGGAUGACGUCAAGUCAUCAUGCCCCUUAUGUCCAGGGCUUCACGCAUGCUACAAUGGCUGGUACAGAGAGUGGCGAGCCUGUGAGGGUGAGCGAAUCUCGGAAAGCCGGUCUCAGUUCGGAUUGGGGUCUGCAACUCGACCUCAUGAAGUCGGAGUCGCUAGUAAUCGCAGAUCAGCAACGCUGCGGUGAAUACGUUCCCGGG